RNAcentral lists this microRNA precursor (93 nucleotides) under Sphingomonas desiccabilis. Its description in RNAcentral is "microRNA MIR1846". The record is from RNAcentral. Lineage: Bacteria; Pseudomonadati; Pseudomonadota; Alphaproteobacteria; Sphingomonadales; Sphingomonadaceae.
CGAAUCCGUGCUCCUGCGCAGGCAGGAGCCCAGGGUUGUCGAAGUGCCGCGCUUGUGGCUCUGGGCUCCUGCCUGCGCAGGAGCACGGCUUGG